RNAcentral lists this long non-coding RNA (365 nucleotides) under Gadus morhua (Atlantic cod). RNAcentral's name for it is "lncRNA (ENSGMOG00000033460.1)". The record is from RNAcentral. Lineage: Eukaryota; Metazoa; Chordata; Actinopteri; Gadiformes; Gadidae.
AUGUCGAUGAGAGUGUGUUCCCUGCAUUUUCAUUCUGAUUCCACCUCGCAGCGGCCCAGACCACAGACCCGGACUGGUACAGGUACAGCGGAGAGACUCAACGAGGUGGCUGAACAUAACAAAACAAUGAUGAGUCAAAGCAAAGGGAGACGCCCCAAAAAGCAAUCCCAAUCUGAAGCCACCUCAAAUAACACAGAGUCUCCUCCGCUGUCCGUCCAGUCCGCGAGCACACCCUCACAGCGCACUGUGCAGCUUAGACUCCGCCACGCCCUUAAUUCGGCCACGUUAAGUCCCCGCACCAUCACUCCCGAGCGCAGACGGCCGAGUGUAACUACCGACCCCAAGCCUCGACCGAACAAGACGAU